GGAGGCAGCAGGGGGGAAUAUUGGACAAUGGGCGCAAGCCUGAUUCAACCAUGCCGUGUGUGUGAAGAAGGCCUUAGGGUUGUAAAGCACUUUCAGUGGGGAGGAAGGCCUUAAGGUUAAUAGCCUUCAGAAUUGACGUUACCUACAGAAGAAGCACCGGCUAACUCCGUGCCAGCAGCCGCGGUAAUACUGGGGGUGCGAGGGUUAAUCGGAAUUACUGGGCGUAAAGCGCGCGUAGGCGGUUAGAUAAGCGGGAUGUGAAAGCCCGGGGGUCAACCUGGGAAGGGCAUUGAAAACUGGCAGGCUAGAGUACGAGAGAGGGUAGUGGAAUUUCCUGUGUAGCGGUGAAAUGCGUAGAUAUUGGAAGGAACAUCAGUGGCGAAGGCG
This 387-nucleotide ribosomal RNA is filed under the name uncultured Gammaproteobacteria bacterium. RNAcentral's name for it is "bacterial SSU rRNA". It matches the Rfam family "Bacterial small subunit ribosomal RNA", at positions 344 to 723 of the family's 1533-position model. The record is from RNAcentral. Lineage: Bacteria; Pseudomonadati; Pseudomonadota; Gammaproteobacteria.